RNAcentral lists this ribosomal RNA (119 nucleotides) under Roseburia sp. RNAcentral describes it as "partial 16S ribosomal RNA". It matches the Rfam family "Bacterial small subunit ribosomal RNA", at positions 1 to 100 of the family's 1533-position model. Lineage: Bacteria; Bacillati; Bacillota; Clostridia; Lachnospirales; Lachnospiraceae. The record is from RNAcentral.
UUUUAACAUGAGAGUUUGAUCCUGGCUCAGGAUGAACGCUGGCGGCGUGCCUAACACAUGCAAGUCGAACGAAGCGCUUUUCCCGAAUUUUCGGAGGAGGGGAGAGUGACUGAGUGGCG